Leptonychotes weddellii (Weddell seal) is the source of this 400-nucleotide non-coding RNA. NCBI's taxonomy places the organism in Eukaryota, Metazoa, Chordata, Mammalia, Carnivora, Phocidae. The record is from RefSeq and is a predicted model, not a curated record.
CAGGUAGAUGCUGGCUGGAUUGGAUUUUGGUCCAUAGUUGGAGGCUGUGUUGUUGGAAUAGCUAUGGCAAGGUUUGCAGAUUUUAUCAGGGGUAUGCUGAAACUAAUUCUUCUCCUCCUGUUUUCUGGGGCUACCCUAUCGUCCACAUGGUUCACCCUGACCUGUUUGAAUAGCAUCACACACCUGCCUUUAACCACAGUGACAUUGUAUGCCUCCUGCAUUCUCCUGGGAGUGUUCUUGAAUAGCAGUAUACCUAUAUUUUUUGAGCUUUUUGUGGAAACUGUCUACCCAGUUCCAGAAGGAAUUACAUGUGGAGUUGUCACUUUUUUAAGUAAUAUGUUCAUGGGAGUACUUUUAUUUUUUCUCACAUUUUAUCACACAGGUAAGAAAUUUGACUUUU